This 160-nucleotide ribosomal RNA is filed under the name uncultured bacterium. Its description in RNAcentral is "partial 16S ribosomal RNA". It matches the Rfam family "Bacterial small subunit ribosomal RNA", at positions 1340 to 1500 of the family's 1533-position model. The record is from RNAcentral.
AAUGGCAGGUCAGCAUACUGCCGUGAAUACGUUCCCGGGCCUUGUACACACCGCCCGUCACACCAUGAGAGUUGGGAAUACCCGAAGCCUGUGAGCUAACUUAUAGAGGCAGCAGUCGAAGGUAGAAUCAAUGAUUGGGGUGAAGUCGUAACAAGGUACC